RNAcentral lists this ribosomal RNA (181 nucleotides) under Taeniura lymma (bluespotted ribbontail ray). RNAcentral describes it as "partial 12S rRNA". Lineage: Eukaryota; Metazoa; Chordata; Chondrichthyes; Myliobatiformes; Dasyatidae. The record is from RNAcentral.
CACCGCGGUUAUACGAGUGACACAAAUUAAUAUUCAACGGCGUUAAGGGUGAUUAGAAAUACCUCUAUUAAAAUAAAGUUCAGACUCCAUCAAGCUGUCAUACGCUCCUAUGUACAAAAACAUCAAUCACGAAAGUAACUUUACAUAAAACAGAAAUUUUGACCUCACGACAGUUAAGACC